UACAGUGUGUUGAAAUGUCUGCUGUGACUGGUUACAUGAUGAAUAAAACAAAAAUCACCAUCUUUCGGCUGACAGCUGUG
RNAcentral lists this small nucleolar RNA (80 nucleotides) under Coturnix japonica (Japanese quail). Lineage: Eukaryota; Metazoa; Chordata; Aves; Galliformes; Phasianidae. The record is from RNAcentral.